Molecule: long non-coding RNA, 320 nt
Filed under: Solanum tuberosum (potato)
Lineage: Eukaryota; Viridiplantae; Streptophyta; Magnoliopsida; Solanales; Solanaceae
Description: long non-coding RNA (STUB_LNC006447)
Source: RNAcentral
GGAUCAGAAAACGGAAGGUGUAUUAUCAGGGAAGAUUGAUGAAUGGAUGAAUGAAUCAGUGGUGGAUAUUGUGAAGAACUUGAAACAAGCGCCGUUGUUGGUUCAGAUAUACUCUGACGAUGGAAAAGGACAAGUGAAGAUCAAGACGGAGAGAGCGGUGGAGGAAGAUUGGCCGAUGAAGAAAAGUGAAUGGGAGAAGAGAUCACCAGAUGGGCUUAUCUUCGUUGGAGAACUUGGAAGUGAGGAUGAGAAACUUGUAGAGGAAGAAGGAGAAGGAAUAACAAAGGCAUGGGGAGUAGUUGUACAGGGGAAAGGGAUGG